RNAcentral lists this ribosomal RNA (406 nucleotides) under uncultured Pseudomonas sp. RNAcentral describes it as "bacterial SSU rRNA". It matches the Rfam family "Bacterial small subunit ribosomal RNA", at positions 380 to 780 of the family's 1533-position model. Lineage: Bacteria; Pseudomonadati; Pseudomonadota; Gammaproteobacteria; Pseudomonadales; Pseudomonadaceae. The record is from RNAcentral.
CAGCUGAUCAGCCAUGCCGCGUGUGUGAGAAGGUCUUCGGAUUGUAAAGCACUUUAAGUUGGGAGGAAGGGCAGUAAGUUAAUACCUUGCUGUUUUGACGUUACCAACAGAAUAAGCACCGGCUAACUUCGUGCCAGCAGCCGCGGUAAUACGAAGGGUGCAAGCGUUAAUCGGAAUUACUGGGCGUAAAGCGCGCGUAGGUGGUUCAGCAAGUUGGAUGUGAAAUCCCCGGGCUCAACCUGGGAACUGCAUCCAAAACUACUGAGCUAGAGUACGGUAGAGGGUGGUGGAAUUUCCUGUGUAGCGGUGAAAUGCGUAGAUAUAGGAAGGAACACCAGUGGCGAAGGCGACCACCUGGACUGAUACUGACACUGAGGUGCGAAAGCGUGGGGAGCAAACAGGAUUA